CAACUUUCAGCAACGGAUGUCUUGGCUCUCGCAUCGAUGAAGAACGCAGCGAAAUGCGAUACGUAAUGUGAAUUGCAGAACUCAGUGAAUCAUCGAAUUUUUGAACGCACCUUGCGCUCUUUAGUUAUUCUGAAGAGCAUGCUUGUUUGAGUGUCGCGAACCUCUCAACCCCGCCCAAGGCUUAAUUGACUUGCGGUUGUCUGGGCUUGGAUCAUGGUCUCUUGUCGUUACCUUCGGGUUUGGACUGGACUGAAAUACAA
RNAcentral lists this ribosomal RNA (260 nucleotides) under Kondoa aeria. RNAcentral's name for it is "5.8S ribosomal RNA". The stretch from base 2 to 156 matches the Rfam family "5.8S ribosomal RNA". From Rfam's summary of the family: 5.8S ribosomal RNA (5.8S rRNA) is a component of the large subunit of the eukaryotic ribosome. It is transcribed by RNA polymerase I as part of the 45S precursor that also contains 18S and 28S rRNA. The record is from RNAcentral. Lineage: Eukaryota; Fungi; Basidiomycota; Agaricostilbomycetes; Agaricostilbales; Kondoaceae.